Molecule: long non-coding RNA, 578 nt
Organism: Xyrauchen texanus (razorback sucker)
Lineage: Eukaryota; Metazoa; Chordata; Actinopteri; Cypriniformes; Catostomidae
Exons: 3
Source: RefSeq, a predicted model, not a curated record
UGUUGAUGAAAUCUUAUGUUUCUUGCUGUUUUUGGAAUUGCAGGGAUAAACUGAGUUUCUGUCAUGUGAGGUUUAUAAUCCGUGAGUGAAUUGGACAGAGUUUGUGGAGGAGGUGGAUUUGGUCCUCUUCCCUCAAGAAUUCCGAUGCCAGUGUCGUCGGGGGUUCACUGGGCCUCAUUGUGAGAUCAACAUAGACGAGUGCAGCUCCAGCCCCUGUCUGUACAUCUUCUGUUACUACGAGUUACAACUGCCUCUGUCUGCCAGGCUGGGAGGGGGAGUUCUGUCAAAGGGAGUCCGACAAAUGUUCAUCAAACCCCUGUAAAAACAAUGCCACUAGUACAGACAUGCUCAACAGUUACAGGUGUACGUACCCUUGUGACUGGACAGGCCUGGAUUGUGGAGAGGAUAUAAAGGAAUGUGCUGCCUCUCCUUUCUGGAACGGGGCACAUGGUGUGGAGUCUGACAUCCCAGGGGAGUUCUCCUGCACCUGCCCGCCGUUCUUCACCGGUCCCCUUUGCGGACAGCCCUACGACACUUGCGACGUGCAGUGUAACCCCAGCCUGCACAACUCUGCCUGC